AGAUAGGCAGUACCACUAUAUAGCAGGCUUGCAUGCAUGCAAACUUUGAAAGCAAUCAUUGAACAAAGCUUGGGCAAGGUUAUGGUGAAUAAGAAAGAGAACAAAGUUCAUGAAGAGGUGCGAAGAAAACAGGAAAAAAGCUAUUUUCCAAGAAGAAAAAGAAAAUGGAAGUACAAAUUUCCAACAGCACACAUUUUCUCUGCUCUCUCCUUGGCUCUGAAAGAGGAUGCGUGAAACAGAAUUUCAGGCUGUAAUUAAUGCAGCUCUUCAUAAGAUAAGAGGUUCUUUUAUCUACAGAAAAAUUGCUGCACUAAUUCCCAACAAGAAGUGCAAUGCUCCGGUUAAUGCUCUUUCUACAAGAAGAAUUCACCUUUUCUACCCUCUACAUAUUUACAGACAAAUUUGAAUAUUUUGUUAUGGGAAACUGAAGAUGGGUAAACAUACAAUGAUAAUAGUACUUUAUAGGGCUAAAUCUAAAAGCCUUAAAGAUUAAUAUUAUGUUUGGAUAAAUGCUGAAUAAGUUUACAUAAAGAAUUUUCAAAUAACAUUGACGCUACAGGCAUGUACUUGUAAGCACAGACCUUAAUUGGGCACAACUUAGAUCCAGCACUCUUUGAGGGGGAGAAUAAACAAAUUGGGAAAUGCAUCCUCAUUUGAUACAGUGAGGAAAAAGAGCUAUGGUUCCUUGCUCUGCUUUAAAGUACUGUCCAAAGAAGGAUGAAGCCCCGCUAUUUCAUUUUGAUUUAAAUAUUUCCUUGUAGAAUGCACAUUCCAAUUUGGAAACAAUACUUUCUAUAUGUAUGUUUCAUGUAUGUGCUUGGAAUAAUUGGUAAUGUGUUGGCACUGUGUUCCACUUAAAUGCAUGGCAUUUGUAUACUAUUUAAUGUUUUGUUGUUGUUGUUGUUUUUGAGAUGGAGUCUCAGUCUGUUGCCCAGGCUGGAGUGCAAUGGUGUGAUCUAGGCUCACUGCAACCUCUGCCUCCCGGGUUCAAGCAAUUCUCCUGCCUCAGCCUCCUGAGUAACUGGGAUUACAGGCGCCUGCCACCACGCCUGGCUAAUUUUUUUUUUUUUUUUUUUUUUUUUUUUUUUUUUUUUUUUUAGUAGAGAUGGGGUUUCUCCAUGUUGGCCAGACUGGUCUUGAACUCCUGAACUCAGGUGAUCCACACACCUUGGCCUCCCAAAGUGCUGGGAUUACAGGCGUGAGCCACUGCACCGGCCUUUUAAUGUUUUCUUAAAAACCAGUUUUCUAAGAAAAAAAGAAGAAUGGGAAUACAGCAAAUGAGUAGAAGACAGAGAUCACAAGAAUCGUGCCUGAGGUCCUGGCAAAGAAGACCCCACUGUAAGGCAGAAUGGCACCUCUGAUUCAUUGGCCCCUUUGUAUUGUUCUCAAUUUCUAUAUCCAUAAAUAAUAAGAUUUUCAUUCCCUUCCUUCCACUCUGUGAGGUGGAUGUGAAAUAGGUAGAGAGGUUUGUCACUGGGUGCAAGGCUAAGAUGCUCAGUUAAAGCAGGAAAUUACGUUGUUUGGCUGAGAAAUACGUGUAAUUUCUAAGUGUGAUUAUUGCAAGUAAAAAUGAGUGAUGUUUCAACAAGAGGGUUAUUGUAAUUCAGGGUAUAGCAACAAUUUUAAUGUAAGCGAGAAGAUGUUUGUAACACUUCCAAAAAAAUAGUACUGUAUCAGUCCAGUGUCCACUUUCCUCCAAACCUUCGUGCCCACGCACACACACAUAAAUACAUGCAGGAUUCCUGAGCAGGGAAGGAUCCUUUCUCACGUGUUCACAAAGAGACUUUUAAGCUCAGAACCUCUUGAGGGUGAGAAACUUUUCUUGGCAGACUAUCAACUGGUUCUGAGUGAACAAAUCCGACAGAGCCCUUUUCCUUGCUUCUUUUUGUUCAUAUUGUUCACCCUCUCACAGCAAGGAAGGCUGCUAGGUAGAGUAAGGGGACUCUCAAAGGAGAUGAAGGUAAAUUUUUCUGGAAUAGCUGCAGAGCAAUUCUAAUGCUUCAGUUAAUCUGUUACCUCUUUCCUUGCCCCUAGCCUUCAGUUUUCCUUUUGUAUCCUGAAAAUAACAUUGACAUUAAAUUGGGUCAGUGGAAAAAAAUCAGUCACCAACUGUUGCUUAUAAUUUUGCCCCCAAGAAAACAUUUGGUAACUAACCCUUAUCUAGAGU
RNAcentral lists this long non-coding RNA (2167 nucleotides) under Homo sapiens (human). Its description in RNAcentral is "HSALNT0322064". Lineage: Eukaryota; Metazoa; Chordata; Mammalia; Primates; Hominidae. The record is from RNAcentral.